GUGGUUUACUUUUGUUUGUCAAACCACUUCUUAAACAUGCCAGUAAGUAUUGACACUGUCAGUUCCAGGCCUGAUAAAUUGUGAGAGAAAA
Molecule: non-coding RNA, 91 nt
Filed under: unclassified sequences
Source: RNAcentral